Molecule: ribosomal RNA, 563 nt
Filed under: Boeremia exigua
Lineage: Eukaryota; Fungi; Ascomycota; Dothideomycetes; Pleosporales; Didymellaceae
Description: eukaryotic LSU rRNA
Rfam family: Eukaryotic large subunit ribosomal RNA
Source: RNAcentral
GCAUAUCAAUAAGCGGAGGAAAAGAAACCAACAGGGAUUGCCCUAGUAACGGCGAGUGAAGCGGCAACAGCUCAAAUUUGAAAUCUGGCGUCUUUGGCGUCCGAGUUGUAAUUUGCAGAGGGCGCUUUGGCAUUGGCAGCGGUCCAAGUUCCUUGGAACAGGACGUCACAGAGGGUGAGAAUCCCGUACGUGGUCGCUAGCCUUUACCGUGUAAAGCCCCUUCGACGAGUCGAGUUGUUUGGGAAUGCAGCUCUAAAUGGGAGGUAAAUUUCUUCUAAAGCUAAAUACUGGCCAGAGACCGAUAGCGCACAAGUAGAGUGAUCGAAAGAUGAAAAGCACUUUGGAAAGAGAGUUAAAAAGCACGUGAAAUUGUUGAAAGGGAAGCGCUUGCAGCCAGACUUGCCUGUAGUUGCUCAUCCGGGUUUUUACCCGGUGCACUCUUCUAUAGGCAGGCCAGCAUCAGUUUGGGCGGUUGGAUAAAGGUCUCUGUCACGUACCUCCUCUCGGGGAGAACUUAUAGGGGAGACGUAAUGCAACCAGCCUGGACUGAGGUCCGCGCAUCU